UCAGUUUCUCAUUCUCUCACUCGUCUUCUUGUUUUCUCUCUACUGAAAGAAAAACAGUUGCACAAUUCUUAUAUUCACUUCUUCAAGUUCAACUUCUGUGUCCAAUCCAUCAUCAUCAAGUCUUACUACACAAAAGGAGAAGUGCUGAGGCUACCAAUUUCUUCAUCGUCUCUGUAUCAAUCUAUCACCGAUGACCACAUGAAAUGCAACUCCAACUACAAAUGCAACCCCAACAAGUACAGCUGAAGCGGUUGAAGUUGGUGAUAACAAAAAGAAGCACUGCAAAGUGAGAUCUAAUGUUUGGUUGGAAAUGACAAGGAUUAGUGAAACUCAUGCUCAAUAUCAUCACUGCAAGCGCGAAUAUGCUGCUCACAUUAACGUAAAUAGCACUGCUGGAUUACGAAAGCAUUUGAACAGUUGUCCAAGAAAUCCUAAAAAGAAGAAAGAUUAGUGAAACCAUGAUGAAUGUCAUCACUACAGCCAUCCUUUUUGUUUGCAGGAUGAUUGCAUUUCGUUUCUUUUCAUUGAGACAGGCUUAUGGAAAUGUUGGUUUUUACUUUUUAGUAUUUUGUAACAAAAUGAACUUAUGGAACUGUUGAACUUAAGUAUGUAAUGUUGAACAUUGAACUUAUGGAAAUGUUGUUUU
Molecule: long non-coding RNA, 646 nt
Organism: Papaver somniferum (opium poppy)
Lineage: Eukaryota; Viridiplantae; Streptophyta; Magnoliopsida; Ranunculales; Papaveraceae
Exons: 3
Source: RefSeq, a predicted model, not a curated record